AGGAAGGAAGGCAGAAAGGAAGGAAUCGCCAGCCCUGGCUCCAGUGUUGAUCCAACUGAUGGGGUGUCCAGUGUCCUGGGGGCACUGCCCAGGCUUGGUGGGGGUACCUUUUAUAGAUAAGCUUCCCCCAUCCUGGAGAUAAAUUUCUCGCUUCCUAUGCAGGGCCUACCCCCCUCCUGGGCUUAGACCGGAGGCUGGGGGGUUACCCAGACCCUGAAGGUUUUCUCUUUCAUGGACUUGCAAGGGGACACUUGCCUACCAUGGAUUUUCACCACAGGAUCACAGGGGAUAAUGGCUUAUGAGUCCACCCCUGUUUUUCUGUGAGGUCCCUCCCCACGGGAGAACAGUCCUUGAUAGACCUCUCCGACAUGGGUCUAGCAUGGAUCCCUCACUUGGAUCCCAAGCUUACCCGAGCCGUUCUCACUCCAGUGUAAGCCUUUCUCUCAGGGUCAUAAAUCUUCAGCAGCAGCAUGGAUCCCACACACGGAUCCCAACAUCCCUACCCGAGCCCUUCUUGCUCCAGCGUAGGUUCUCUCAGGGUCACAAAUUUCCAACAGCAGCAGCAUGGAUCUCUCACUGAGAUCCCAAACUUACCCGAGCCGUUCUCACUCCGGCGUAAGCCUCAUCCCUCUCGGGGUCAUAAAUCUUCAACAGGACUCUGCCUCAUUUCAGUCCUUCUCAUGAAGUCUCGGCUUCCUUGUACAUCCACAAGCUCUUCUGUGAGCCGCAUGGGGGUCUCCUCACCCCAACAAUCUUACAAAGGUAGCAAGGAUUUUAUUUUUCAGUCUUUUCCCUGCUGAAGGGAGAGAGCGAAAGGAGGGAGAAAGUCCCCCCCCCGCCCUUCCGACUUUUCUUCUCUCUCCUCCGGCUGCCAGCUUUGACCUUGGAGGUCCCUUAUCUUUCUGCCGGAAUUCUUCUGCAGCGAUUUUUCGUCUAAGCAGUCAGUCCUCUAAAGUUUUUUUUCUGUACUCUCUUACAGGAGAGAAGGCGGGGCUUCAGUGCUACACCUGCCCCCGGCCCAGGCCGGGGGAGGAGGGGGCCUCGGCCCACUCGAGGCCUGCCUCCUCUCCUACAUGGCUACUGCUACUAAUUUCAACUGCGUAACCACCUUCUCUUCCGUUUUCUUAAAUAUGUAAUUAGCAAAGGCGUCACUAAGAGUUUUGAUUGACCUUUUUCUCCGGAAAUCCAUCUGGACAAAACCAUCCUCAGCCCCAGGCACUAGCUGGUGAGCAAAACCACGACAGAGACUAAUCUCAAAAGUCAAAUUAAUGUCAUUUGAACUCAGUGUGGACCAAUUCCUUUUGGUCUAUUGAACUUUUAUCUUUGGUGGGAGGAGCAUGUUGCCUUUCAGGUCAUAUAGACGUUAAGUUUCUUUGCCUAUGAUCAAGCAUAGGGUGUAAAACAGCACUGUCCAAUAGUACAGUGACCUAAAGAGAGUAGGACUUUAUCAGACCUUCAGGAAGUAAGUGUAACAGAAAGCCAUUAUUGACAUCUCUUGGCUCAAGGAUUGUUGGAGUCAUGUAUUCACCCUUCAAAAGUGGUAGCUACCCUUGUAAGCUAUUAGUUUUCUGGGCCUCGUUCUGUGAGGUCAAGAAGAAGCUGUUGUUUCUCAAGAGUAUUGAUGGUUGUGCCAUCAGUCACUGCUUUCACAUAAGACACUUUGGAUUCUCUUCUUCUAACAGCAUAACCUUAGUAGAGCUGAGUGUGAGCCAGCUGUAUGAAUAACCCUGAAUUAUUCUUAAAUUAUCAGAUUACAGAGGUGAUAAUUUACUACCUGUGUGGGUGUUGUGGUUUAGGUCAGGACAGACUAAAUGAACGCAUUCAUUUCUACUCAGCAGUUGGUUUCGUGUGAUGGAGUUGAGAUAUUUAUUGCCUCUGAGAAAGAAUGACCAAUGCAAAGAACACUUCAGAGCUACAGCAAAGUUGUUAUUUCUACUUCCCCUUUCCUUGCUGACAGGAGCAGCAAUUGUCAGUAGAUGGAAAGAGCAGAGUGCUGAGCAUGCUGGUUGUGCCACAUGAGCUUGGUCCCAAGGCCUCCACAGUCUGGCAUCCCUGAAACUGCAACCUCCACAGCACUAUUUUUACAUUUCUGGGAUUUUGUUUUGUGUGCAAAUGCAUAUGCUUUAUUAAAUUCUUACUGCCACUGUUAGGGUCAUUAACAAAGACUUUUUAUUAGGUCAGAUCUCUUCUACCAUUGUAUACUCUUGUUGUCAUAGUACAUUUGGCAGAUUAUAAAGAUAGGGGGCUGAAACCCUUAUCCUGCAAAUACUUAUUUCUGUGAAUAGUCCCUGUGAUUUAAUUUUGAGUUUUACUGCAAUCAAGCAUUCAGAGGAUCAGCUUCUUUGCUACAUGGAUUGGUUAUCCUGAAGUUUUCAGUGAGGCAUUUGGAAAUAAUAUAUAUGAGAUUAUAUAUGAGAUGUCCUCGUUUUUUAACAACUACCACUGCAUAUAAGUGAGGUGCUAGUAUGUGGUUGUGUUGAGGGCGUUGGCUGUAGUUCGUUUGUAAGAGACAAUGGGUGCCAAUGCACUCGAUAAUUCUUUCACUUCCAAAUUUUUCACUCUCCAGGUCUGUAGGAAUAAGUGUUCAGUCAUGGGGAAGUCCCGAGCUUCAGAUGAAGUUUCAUUUUAGAGCCUUUUGGCUUUAGCAUAGUUUGUUCAAAGGCUUGUAUUCAUUUAAGAGCAUUGCACUGUGGCUGUGAAACAAAGAAUACUAUGAAAUUCUGCAAGCGAUACUGCAUCUAAUUAUGUAAGUAUUAAGAAACCACAUAAAAAUCUCUCAGUCGCUUCUGCUUUUUUCUUAGCAGGAACGUCCUAUUACUUAGAAUGUCUUUUUUUUUCUCUAUUUGAUUAAGGCUAAAUUAACCAUGACACCAGUUUUUAUGAGCCAAAUACUGUUACUGGAGUGUCUAAAUCUGCAGAGAAAAAGCCCAUAAAUAAACUUCCCAGAUAGAUAUCUGUAGCCCUUCCCUUGUUCACUGAUGGAGCCACUCCAUCCUAGAAGGCCACUAGGUUGGUCAGGCAGGACUUGCCCUUGGUGAAGCUGUGCUGGCUGUCCCGAAUCACCUCCCUGUCCUCCAUGUGCCUUAGCAUAGCUUCUAGGAGGAUCUGUUCCAUGGACCUUCCCAAGGCACAGAGGUGAGGCUGACGGGUCACUAGUUCCCAGGGUCCUCCUUUCUACCCUUUUUAAAGAUGGGGACAAUGUUUCCCUUUUUCGAAUCACCUGGGAUUUGAUCUGACUGCCAGGACUUUUCAAAUAUCGUGGAGAGUGACUGCAUCGACCAAAUUCCCUCAGGACUCUGGGAUGCAUCUCAUCGGGUCCCAUAGACUUGUGCACAUUCAGCUUCCUCAGGUGGUCAUGAACAUGAUCUUCACUUAGAGUGGGAAGCAGUCUGCUCCCCAGUCCCCAUCAUGCAGUCCAUCCACUCAAGAGGGGUGGGAAGAGAGGUUUGCCAUUGAAGGCUGUGGCAAAAAAGUUGUUAAGUACCUCAGCCUUCUCCUUGACCAUAGUUACCAGUUUACCAGCAAUGUUUAUCAAUGGGGGUACACCUUCUUUCACUUUCAUUUUCUGGUUAACACACCUGUAGAAGCCCUUCCCGUUAUUCUUUGCAUCCCUUGCCAAGUUCAGUUCCAGCUUCAUCUUGACCUUCCUGAUCCCAUCUCUUCACAACUGUCAUGUGAAAAGGGGAGAUUUCCUCAACCCUUAGUGUUUGAGUUGUCUGUCAGCGCCCCAGGAAAACCAAGAUCCUUGCGCCCGACCAGUCUGUCAGCAUCCCGUUACGGGGACCCUUCCCUGAACAGUUCACUAGGUCGGAGGGCUGUUCAACUGACUUGUUCAGGGGCACGUGCCAACAGAGAGACCCCCCUCCUGGGUCUCCACACCUUUAUUUGAGUAUGUUACCCACUGCCGGUGACUGCUAGCACCCUUGAAAGACUCACAUUAACACUUUACUGAAUAACACUCUUUAUAUUAAUAAAAUUGUGACAGGUUAAGGUUCGAGGGUUGCCGUUGACAGUAUCUGACUGCAAAAAUGUAUUCAAAGCAACAUACUAACGAGCUCUAAUUCCCAAGGAAAGCUGGCUCAAGAGAAUCAUUCAGCACGCACAGAAUACGGUUCUUACCCAGUGGGCCCAUACGGGGGAGAGGCAGGUUCAGCCCGUCAGCCGAAGUUACGAUGGAGUCUUCCCCGACUUGUCCCCGUUCUUAACUCACUUUUAUGCUAUUUAUUUAUGUUUAGGUGAAGCUUGAGUGACUUUAGUCAUACAUCUUACUCAGUGAGGGGUGGUCGUACCUUGGGGGCAGAUAUCUCAGUAUAGUACCUGAGAUAACCUUGGGCUGGGGACAUGUCAGUCCAAGGAGAGGGAUUUCACCACAGUUGCUGAUUCGCCAGCAAGACGUCUACCUUUAUCUCCCUUGGUUUUCAGCUGCUGUGCAGAUUAUCAGCUAAAAAGGACCACUGAGUUCCCUCCUCUGCAAGGGUUUUGACAGAGUCUGGCUGCAGGGUCUUCACUCCGCUCCACCCUCCGUUUAGUCCCCCUUAGACUGUGUGUGGGAGGUCAGGUAUGCUGACCACGUUCCAUUCAGGGAGUAGCAACUGCCUUUCCCCCUAUAGUUUCCGUACUGUUAUAACUGUGUCGAUGACUUUCCACUUUUCUUUAAUUUUAAUCCCAGUCUUCUUCCCACAGCAACUGUACUUCAUCUCUAUACUCUUCCCAGGUCACCUGUCCCUGCUUCCACUGCCUGUGCAUUUGCUCCUUUCUCUUCAGUUUGACCGGCAGGUCCCUACUCAGCCAUGCCAGUCUCUUGCCUUCUGUGAUGGUUCGGACUUGGCUCCCUGCCAAAUGCCCAAACCCCAGUAGCAGCCUCCCCCCCUUCCCCCUUCCUUCUUUCCCCAGAGCAAAGGAAAAAAAUAUGUAAAUUGAAGAACCCGAAAAUCCAGCUAGUUAUAUAAAAAAUAUAUAUAUUUGAUGCAUAUUACAGUUAAGAUGCUAUGUACACAGCAAAAAGGAAUUCAAACACCCCCCGAAGGGAUAGGGAAAGGGGAAAAGGAACAAAAGGAGACAAAGAAGGGACACCGAGCAGAUAUCCGCAAUCAAACCUGAGGACUAGUAAAAUAACUAGUAAAACAAAUCUCACCACGUUCCUUAGAAAAGCAGGAUUAGCACACACGGCCAGCACUCUGCUAUCCUCCACGUGGCAGGCCAGCGGUCGCUGCAGGCCUCAGCCUUAGAUAAGCGAGACCAACGCAAGGACCCACUGUUCCCGUACCCCGCUGGAAGAGAAGAGAGUGAAGGCCUCUCUUCCCUUCUUAUUUAUACCCCGAUUUACGUAAAAAUCGUAUGGAAUACUGGGAACACUGCCUCUUCCUUGGUUACAAACUGGUAACCAAGGAAGGCCUAGAUUAAAACCACCACACCUUCCUUGCCUGAUUUCUUGCUCCCGGGGAUCACUAGCUCUCGUGCUCUGUUCUGUUCCCUUGUCCCCAAGGGCAGUCUCCCAGGGGAUCCCACUAUCUCCCUGAAGAGCUGGAAGUUUGCUUUUCUAAAGUCCAGGGUCCUGACUUUACUCUUCACCUCACCCAUAUCCCUCAGUACUGUGAACUCCACCAACGCAUGAUCACUGCAGCCCAGGCUGAUGUCUCCGAUUAGCUCACUGACGUUGGUGACAAUCAGAUCCACUCUCUCAUCCCCUCUGGUAGGGUUGUCUAUGGUCCAUGCAAUUAUUUUUAAAGCCUUAAUUUAUUAGAAAACGUUUCAUCUUUUUUAAAGCUGACUCGUUUCACAUGGGGAUUAGCUUUCAGAAAUGCUGUCCCCUCAGCUGCCAGUGACUUUGAAUGUAAAGCUAGGUGCUUGACACUUUUGCAAAUGAGACCCUAAAUGAUUUGUAUUAAUUAUUAGGAUCAGAUGAAUCAUCUGUGCAGUUAAGACACUGUCCUUUCAGUAAUAUUCUCUUAUUCAUGAGAAUUCAGAGAAUUCAUAUUGAAGGGAUGACAAUUUCUGAUGAGUAUCAGAUGCCAAGUACACCAAGUCUCCAUUUCCUAAGAUUUGCUCCACUGAUUUGAAAAUUACAUAUUGACUCAAGUGUUCUCCUUUGGUUUUGCUUUGAAGCUAUUUCCACACUAAACUCUCAGUGCUGGUUUUGACGUAAAACCCCCCAGUCUCUUCAAUUGUUCAAAUGCAGGGAGCAUUAAAACAUCUCUGCAAAUAGAUAUAACAGAUGGACGAUGGGAUUUUUCAGCUGCAGUGUGUGUCCUGACUUUUCAGGAUGGCUCUGUAGCUUGAAAUCCUGGUCACUCUGGAGAACCUCAGUUCACUUUUCAGUAUUAAUACGAAACCUUGGUUGUUCAUGUGGGUGUCUAAGUAUGGGCGCUGAAAGAAAUGAGGCUGCCACCACACAGAGUUUGAUUUCGGGAUUUGUCCGCUGAUCUUUCUGGCGUUCCCCUUUUAUUAGGGUUCCUUUGUAAACAGCACCUGGUGUUUGUCUUUUAGUUAACUGGAAUUCCCAGGAUCAUCCUAAACCAGUGCCUUGAUCCCACACAUUCACACUCGUAUCAUGUUUGACUGUUUUCAGCCACGGGAAAAGCAUGCAGACCAUGCAGACCAUUAAGUGCUUUGAGAACACAGUACUCUCUUUAUCAAAAACACCAGUCAAGGCCAAAACACUCCUUUCUGAUCCUGAUUAACUGAAUGUAGGUGCUGCUGGCUUAACUGGUCCCCACACUAAGUUGGAAGCACUCAAUUAUUUUGAAAGUCCAUUCCCCACCCCGACCCCCAUUUCCAUAUUGUACUUAAUUGAUCUUUUCUCAUAGUGGUGGUUACAGAGUUUUCACACCUUGCCUUUUUAGGAUAGGGAGGACAAUUUCAGAAAUAUCUACUUUUCUAAAGGGAAAUCUUUUGGUGCUUCAGGAUAUUUUUUCCUCCCCUGAGGGGCAGCAGGGAAGAUCAUUAUAAAGGUCCCUUCUUGCCCUGAUGCUCAUCAGUGUGCAGAUAAUUUUGUUCUCUCACAGAGUCCGUGACGUAUGCUGACGGUGGAGCUCUAGAGAAGCGUUUUCCAUGUGAGUUCUGUGGCCGAUCAUUUACAGAGGGCUCUGAGUGGGAACGACAUGUGCUGAGGCAUGGCAUCAAACACAGGGAUACGACAGAUUAUUCUAACAAGGGAAGAGUUCUGUCUAACACAAACACCGUUGGAUGCAGUUAUGAGAUGUAAUUACUCAACUAGAUGCUUCUGUCCAUCCUGUUUGACCCAGGAACCCAGAAAUCCAAGGGCUCUGAAUGAAAGUAAGCAAGGGACCAGAGAGGACAGCAAACUGAAGGAGAACACAGAAAAGACUGUUAAUACACUGACAGUAGAAGAAAAGGAAAACACUGAGCAAAUGUUGGUGGACUUGACCCACAACAGUGAAACUAAAGUCAGUGUUGUAGUUGCUAACAAAUCUCGCCAAGAGACCUCAGAGGCCAAAAAUGAAUAGAAAUUGGGUGUGAUUUUAAUCAACUGACUUGAACUGUGGUGAAUGGAAAGGGAUGGGCCGGUGGGGUGGGCAGAAGGAAGAAACAAAGCUGCUUUUAGGAAUGAAUGAUCUAUUUUCAAAGCACUGGUACCUAUGUGAGUGUGUGUAUAUUAAAGCUAUUUAAAUGUUGGAAUAAGUGGUUCCAUUAUAUUACUGCAUCUUCUGGAUCUAAACAAUGGGAAAUUACAUUCAUAUUGGAUUAAUGAAACAACUCCCUGUGUCUCUAUGUUACACAAUGCGCUUUGCAGCAGAGACUUGUAUUGUUUGCAAACAGAAGCAUAAUGAACAUGGUUUGGAGGUGAUGUAACUUUUCAACAUGCAACUUUUGCUGCAUUUUUUAAAAUUUCAAUCCAUUAUGAUUUUCCAGACUGAAUGCACCUGCUUUAGAAAACAAAAACAAGACAGAAACUGCUUUGCUUAAAACAACCACCCGUUUCCUGAUACCUCAAAAUUAACAAAGGGACAUCUGCAUUUGUUAGUACUGCCUCUUUUCAUUAUAAUUGGAGAGACUGCUAAGCAAGGUGGUGAAAGGAGGAAGAAACAAAAGUUUUAAAGAAAGGAAAACAAAUAGUGCUUAAAAUCCCACUGUGGAUUUAAUUUCUUAAAAUGCUGUGAUUUUUAAAAAUUAUUUUAGUAAAUAAAUAAAUAAAAAAAAAAACUAAAAAGACGGAAUCUUUAAUUUCUAGAUAAUGCUUUGGGAAUUGCCAUCCUUUAUUCCAGGUAAGCUGUUUGUUAGUAUUCAGCUAUAAUUUUAGU
This is a long non-coding RNA of Myiozetetes cayanensis, 8261 nucleotides long. RefSeq lists it as uncharacterized. The transcript is spliced from 3 exons. Lineage: Eukaryota; Metazoa; Chordata; Aves; Passeriformes; Tyrannidae. The record is from RefSeq and is a predicted model, not a curated record.